UAGCCCUGAAAAUGGAUGGCGCUCAAGCGUCGCACCCAUACUCUGCCGUCGGGGCAAGAGCGAGGCCCCGACGAGUAGGAGGGCGCGGUGGUGGUGAUGCAGCCUUUGGCGCGAGCCUGGGUCAAACCGCCACUGGUGCAGAUCUUGGUGGUAGUAGCAAAUAUUCAAAUGAGAGCUUUGAAGACUGAAGUGGAGAAAGGUUCCAUGUGAACAGCAGUUGGACAUGGGUUAGUCGGUCCUAAGAGAUAGGGUAACUCCGUUUGAAAAGCGUGCAGUCCUUCGGGUGUGCACCGUCCUGUCGAAAGGGAAUCGGGUCAAUAUUCCCGAACCGGAACACGGAUGUGGUGCUCUCGGGCACCAAAGCGGCAACGCAAACGAACUCGGAGACGCCGGCGGGAGCCCCGGGAAGAGUUCUCUUUUCUUCUUAACAUGCUGUCACCCUGAAAUCGGUUUGCCCGGAGAUAGGGUCACAUGCCUGGUAAAGCGCCACACCUCUUGUGGCGUCYGGUGCGCUCUCGACGGCCCGUGAAAAUCCGAGGGAGCAGAUGAUUAUCGUGUCCGGCCGUACUCAUAACCGCAGCAGGUCUCCAAGGUGAACAGCCUCUAGUCAAUGGAACAAUGUAGGUAAGGGAAGUCGGCAAAAUAGAUCCGU
Molecule: ribosomal RNA, 652 nt
Filed under: Dysidea sp. WAMZ82370
Lineage: Eukaryota; Metazoa; Porifera; Demospongiae; Dictyoceratida; Dysideidae
Description: partial large subunit ribosomal RNA
Source: RNAcentral